This 358-nucleotide long non-coding RNA is filed under the name Lathyrus oleraceus (garden pea). Its description in RNAcentral is "Pisum sativum (pea) long non-coding RNA (PSAT_LNC032853)". Lineage: Eukaryota; Viridiplantae; Streptophyta; Magnoliopsida; Fabales; Fabaceae. The record is from RNAcentral.
CAUUUGUUUUUCCAUUUGUUUUCCCUUUUCGCUUUUUGCAUGAAAUUGGUGAUCACAAAAGACCCUAAAAACAAGAAUAAAAGCAAUCUUUUCAUCUGCAUAACGAUUGUCUUGUUUGAUUCUCAAAGUGCUUUUUAUACUCAAAAUCUUUAUGCAGGUUGUUUCUCAAACCCAUUGAACAUAAUGAUCAGACGUCAUCUCCCAAUUUUGAAUUCCCUGUAUUUGAAGCGGACGAAGAUGAUGUUGAAGGGAUUCCUGACGAGAUUUCCCGACUUCUUGAGCAAGAAAAGAAGAUCACACUCAGCUGCAUCUCGAGAAUCAGCAGAACAGCCAACUGGGGCAUUAAAAAAAAACAACA